Cyprinus carpio carpio is the source of this 613-nucleotide long non-coding RNA. The record is from Ensembl. NCBI's taxonomy places the organism in Eukaryota, Metazoa, Chordata, Actinopteri, Cypriniformes, Cyprinidae.
AAGUAUUCUUAAAAUGCAUUCCAAAUUCUGAAUAAUUUGUAAUAUAUAAUUAUUCACGGUAUUUAGAAGUGCUCACGAUAACAAUAUCGUGCAUAUUCAUAAUCUCUUUGGUACAGAUGAAACCAGUUAAGAGAGCCGAACCUCAGGAAGAGACUCAGCAACAGGAAGAGACACAGCAACAGAGAGCAUUUCUGAAGAAGAUUUCUCAACUUCACGAGAAGUUAGCUCAUCCAAAGGAGAAAGUUCUAUAUUUGGUUUACAGAUUUCUGCAGACUUCAGCAAACUCCUCUGAUUUCUCCUUAGCACUCUGUUUGAAUAAGAUAUGACCUUGGAUUUACUUCUUUUAGAACAACAGCUAUCUUUCUCCAUCCUGUUAGCUCCUCAACUCUAACCACAUCUUGCUCAGAAAGAGCUACAGCUGCCGAGAUCUCUUAUCAUAAACAGGUUCAGGAGUCAGAAUCUCUUCUAACCUCUUCCAUUCUUGAUCAUGGCUCUCGCAGAGGGACAGGAACACGCCGAGGAGCGUGUGUAACAGGUGUAGCGUCAUCCUUCAGUUGUGUUUUGAGUGUCUUCUUCUCAUCAAGGCUGCAUUUAUUUGAUCAAAAAUACAGGG